Molecule: ribosomal RNA, 255 nt
Filed under: Salmonella enterica subsp. enterica serovar Anatum
Lineage: Bacteria; Pseudomonadati; Pseudomonadota; Gammaproteobacteria; Enterobacterales; Enterobacteriaceae
Description: partial 16S ribosomal RNA
Rfam family: Bacterial small subunit ribosomal RNA
Source: RNAcentral
AUAACUACUGGAAACGGUGGCUAAUACCGCAUAACGUCGCAAGACCAAAGAGGGGGACCUUCGGGCCUCUUGCCAUCAGAUGUGCCCAGAUGGGAUUAGCUAGUUGGUGAGGUAACGGCUCACCAAGUCGACGAUCCCUAGCUGGUCUGAGAGGAUGACCAGCCACACUGGAACUGAGACACGGUCCAGACUCCUACGGGAGGCAGCAGUGGGGAAUAUUGCACAAUGGGCGCAAGCCUGAUGCAGCCAUGCCGC